This 1277-nucleotide small RNA is filed under the name Pongo abelii (Sumatran orangutan). Its description in RNAcentral is "processed transcript". Lineage: Eukaryota; Metazoa; Chordata; Mammalia; Primates; Hominidae. The record is from RNAcentral.
GGGCCGUGGACGCAGCGCAGACAGGAAGCCGCCCGAGAUAACGCUGCGGCCGGGCGGCCUGAUUUGCUGGGCUGUCUGCUGGCCCGGGCCGAGGCUUCUCCCCGCGCCUGGGACUGCGGCCGCCUCUCUAAAUAGCAGCCAUGAGGCGCCUGGGGGCAGUGUCCUCGCGGGCCAGCGGCGGGCAGGACGCCCCGUUCGCCCAGCGCGUGCUCAGGAGUUGGUGUCCUGCCUGCGCUCAGGAUGAGGGGGGAUCUGGCCCUGGCGGGCGUUCUAAUCAGUCUGGCCUUCCUGUCACUGCUGCCAUCUGGACAUCCUCAGCCGGCUGGCGAUGACGCCUGCUCUGUGCAGAUCCUCGUCCCUGGCCUCAAAGGUGAGAAAGGAGAUUCUGGUGACAUAGGACCCCCUGGUCCUAAUGGAGAACCAGGCCUCCCGUGUGAGUGCAGCCAGCUGCGCAAGGCCAUCGGGGAGAUGGACAACCAGGUCUCUCAGCUGACCAGCGAGCUCAAGUUCAUCAAGAAUGCUGUCGCCGGUGUGCGCGAGACGGAGAGCAAGAUCUAUCUGCUGGUGAAGGAGGAGAAGCGCUAUGCGGACGCCCAGCUGUCCUGCCAGGGCCGCGGGGGCACGCUGAGCAUGCCCAAGGACGAGGCUGCCAAUGGCCUGAUGGCCGCAUACCUGGCGCAAGCCGGCCUGGCCCGUGUCUUCAUCGGCAUCAACGACCUGGAGAGGGAGGGCGCCUUCGUGUACUCCGACCGCUCCCCCAUGCGGACCUUCAACAAGUGGCGCAGUGGUGAGCCCAACAAUGCCUACGACGAGGAGGACUGCGUGGAGAUGGUGGCCUCGGGCGGCUGGAACGACGUGGCCUGCCACACCACCAUGUACUUCAUGUGUGAGUUUGACAAGGAGAACAUGUGAGCCUCAGGCUGGGGCUGGCCACUGGGAGAGCCCAUGAGCCUCCAGCUGGGGCUGCUCACUGGGGGCCCCACGUGUCCCUGCAGGGUUGGCAGGGACAGAGCCCAGACCACGGUGCCAGCCGGGGAGCUGUCCCUCUGUGAAGGGCGGAGGCUCACUGAGUAGAGGGCUGUUGUCUAAACUGAGAGAAUGGCCUGUGCUUAAGAGGAAAAUGAAAGUGUUCCUGGGGUGCUUUCUCUGAAGAAGCCUAGUUUCAUUACCCGUAUUGUAGCCCCAAUGUCAUUAUGUAAUUAUUAUCCAGAAUCGCUCUUCCAUAAAGCUCGUGCCUUUGUCCAAGCUAUACAAUAAAAUCUUUAAGUAGUGCAGUA